Molecule: transfer RNA, 87 nt
Filed under: Methanohalophilus halophilus
Lineage: Archaea; Methanobacteriati; Methanobacteriota; Methanomicrobia; Methanosarcinales; Methanosarcinaceae
Also listed under: 1 other name
Description: tRNA_Val_TAC
Rfam family: tRNA
About the family: Transfer RNA (tRNA) molecules are approximately 80 nucleotides in length. Their secondary structure includes four short double-helical elements and three loops (D, anti-codon, and T loops).
Source: RNAcentral
GCCGGGGUGGCAGAGCGGACUAAUCCAACGGCUUACAAGACCUGUUUCCCCUAACGGGGUGCUUGGGUUCGAAUCCCAACCCCGGCG